GACGAACCGUACAAACGUUAUUCGGAAUUACUGGGCUUAAAGGGUGCGUAGGCGGCCCGGGAAGUUGGGUGUGAAAUACCUCGGCUCAACCGAGGAAUUGCGCUCAAAACUGCCGGGCUUGAGGAAGAUAGAGGUGAGCGGAACUUAGGGUGGAGCGGUGAAAUGCGUUGAUAUCCUAAGGAACACCGGUAGCGAAAGCGGCUCACUGGGUCUUCUCUGACGCUGAGGCACGAAAGCUAGGGGAGCGAACGGG
This 253-nucleotide ribosomal RNA is filed under the name uncultured bacterium. Its description in RNAcentral is "partial 16S ribosomal RNA". It matches the Rfam family "Bacterial small subunit ribosomal RNA", at positions 524 to 776 of the family's 1533-position model. The record is from RNAcentral.